ACUUUUUAGUCCCUGUGUAAUAAG
RNAcentral lists this unclassified non-coding RNA (24 nucleotides) under Hydra vulgaris (swiftwater hydra). RNAcentral's name for it is "trans-spliced leader sequence SL-B". The record is from RNAcentral. Lineage: Eukaryota; Metazoa; Cnidaria; Hydrozoa; Anthoathecata; Hydridae.